GUCCACGCCCUAAACGAUGCACAUUGGACCGGUGCGGCUCUGACGUCGUAUUGGUCGUAGAGAAAUUGCUAAAUGUGCCGCCUGGGGAGUACGGUCGCAAGGCUAAAACUCAAAGGAAUUGACGGGGGCUCACACAAGCGGUGGAGCAUGUUGCUUAAUUCGAAGCAACGCGAAGAACCUUACCCGGGUUUGACAUGUACGAAUUAGUUUCUGGAAACAGGAAUGAGGCCCGCAAGGGUACAACGUACACAGGUGCUGCAUGGCUGUCGU
Molecule: ribosomal RNA, 270 nt
Filed under: uncultured bacterium
Lineage: Bacteria
Description: partial 16S ribosomal RNA
Rfam family: Bacterial small subunit ribosomal RNA
Source: RNAcentral